UGUUCGUAAUUUAAAAAAAAAUAUCAAGCUGUGACCAUGACAAUAGGAGCUACUCCUCGCACACCGA
This 67-nucleotide transfer RNA is filed under the name Trimorphodon biscutatus. RNAcentral's name for it is "tRNA-His". The record is from RNAcentral. Lineage: Eukaryota; Metazoa; Chordata; Lepidosauria; Squamata; Colubridae.